CCGAGUUAGGGUGUCAACUCUUUUGCGCCCGACCUCCAACCCUUUGUCUACUUAACCAAACGUUGCUUCGGCAGGCCCGCCGGACUGGCUUAACAGCGGUCCGGCCGCCGGGGGUCGAGAGACCCCGGGCCCGCGCCUGUCGAUGGCCCCCCCUAAAACUACUGCCGAAACGUGUCGUCUGAGUCUUUAUGAUUUAAAAAUCAAAAACA
This 209-nucleotide unclassified non-coding RNA is filed under the name uncultured Ascomycota. Its description in RNAcentral is "sequence contains ITS1". The record is from RNAcentral. Lineage: Eukaryota; Fungi; Ascomycota.